UGGAAUCUCAAUGCUGGGCAGCCAGGGCCAAAUCCACAUCCCCCCAACAUUGGGUACCCUGGAGGUUCCAGUCUUGCCCGUCUACCACCUAUCAAUCCACCUUUUCCACCAGGCUCCUUCCGCAGGAGCUUCCCAGGGCAAUCCAGCUUUCCCCCUAGGUGGGCCCCCUCAUCCUGUGCCACAGCCAGGGUAUCCAGAAUGCCCACCCUCGGGUCCCUACCCUCCUUCGUACCCACUGCCUGCCCCUGGAAUGCCUCCUUAGAAUCCCUUGGCCCCUGGCAUGGUUGGUCCAGGAGUGAUAGUGGACAAGAAGAUGUAGAAGAAAAUGAAGAAAGCUUAUAAAAACAUGCACCAGCACCACAAGCAUGGCAGGCAUUGCUUCUCCUCUUCCUCCUCCUCUUCCAGCAGUGACUCUGACUGGAUCCAGGCCCUGGACCCUUCCCUCAGGUCUCACCAGUUCUGCUCUCCUAUCAAGCUUCAGAUGCCCUGUUGUUUUGGGGGAAAGUAGCUCUUGAGCUCCCCACCCUUACCACCACCUGAGCCUCACCCUGCUGUUCAGCCCUGAGUGCCUAGGGAAAAUGGGAAGAUGAUUGCCAUGGCAUGGCCACUUUCUUGCUGUUUGGAUAGAUUAUAUAGCUAAUGAGUUUAGCAGGAGAGCUAUUUUUUGAAGAUGAUGAACUAAGUGUUGAAGAUAAGUUUGAGAUCUGUAAAAUGUGAUUUUUUUGCUUCCUCUUAUAAUACUUGUGAUUGGGGGGAUUUGUGGAAACUUGAUUAUGAUGAAAAACCUCAAUUUUUUUUUGUAAUGUUGGCAUACUUGGGGAAUUCAGUGGCAAAUACAUUCCCCAGCAGGCCUUUUGUUGGUUGCACUAACUGCAAGGUUGCUGAGAAGUAGAGUC
Cebus imitator (Panamanian white-faced capuchin) is the source of this 896-nucleotide RNA transcript. It is a transcript of the gene named proline-rich protein 13-like, with no coding region annotated. NCBI's taxonomy places the organism in Eukaryota, Metazoa, Chordata, Mammalia, Primates, Cebidae. The record is from RefSeq and is a predicted model, not a curated record. The transcript has a single exon.